CGUGUAGGCGGUUGGUCAAGUCUGGUGUGAAAGCCCGGGGCUUAGCCCCGGAAGUGCGCUGGAAACUAGCCAACUUGAGCGCGAUAGAGGAGGGUGGAAUUCCUGGUGUAGCGGUGAAAUGCGUAGAUAUCAGGAGGAACACCGGCGGCGAAGGCGGCCCUCUGGGUCGUUGCUGACGCUGAGACGCGAAAGCGUGGGGAGCAAACAGGAUUAGAUACCCUGGUAGUCCACGCUGUAAACUAUGGGUACUAGGUGUUCGGGGUGUUGACCCCCUGAGUGCCGACGCUAACGCAUUAAGUACCCCGCCUGGGGACUACGGCCGCAAGGCUAAA
RNAcentral lists this ribosomal RNA (332 nucleotides) under uncultured bacterium. Its description in RNAcentral is "bacterial SSU rRNA". It matches the Rfam family "Bacterial small subunit ribosomal RNA", at positions 568 to 898 of the family's 1533-position model. The record is from RNAcentral.